RNAcentral lists this non-coding RNA (173 nucleotides) under Platyophrya macrostoma. The record is from RNAcentral. Lineage: Eukaryota; Ciliophora; Colpodea; Cyrtolophosidida; Platyophryidae.
CGUUUUUUUUUUUUUUUUUUUUUUUUCAAUGCACCUUCUCAGUCGUAUUUAAAAAGAAGUUCGCUCGGAAUGCAAUUUGUGUGGAAUGGGGAGUUGGCAGAGGGAAGAUGGCAAUGUGUUUGUGUGAGGUUUUUGAAGUGCACUUGUCGGAGGGAGAAAAAAAAAAAAAAGAG